UUGGCGUUAUGAAAAACUAAUUAUGGGGAUCGGAGUAUUUAAACCCGUCACCCUGGUGAAGCCCUAACCCUAACAUCUUUAUGUCUAGCCGCAACUUGUACCUCUCGCUUCCAGCCUCCAAGCUCUCGGCCGCCACCUUCUAGCCGCCGUGACGCCGCUGCUAUCACCAGAGAUGCUUCCCCGACGAGUGCCAUUGAACCUGUGACUUGCUGAAGACCGACCAAAUCGCCUCCGAACCAUGGUCGGAAUCGCGAGUCCUACCAAGCUACCGCCGCUGGUGGUGUGAAGAUCUGCGAGGUCACAAUCUUGUUCCGUCGGUGUCACCACUGUGGACGAGGACUCAAAUCGACCACCACGUCUGUUGUAGCUAUCCAUAUCGCUAUUCAUCUUAUUCUUUUCUAUUUACCAUGUCGCCUGCCGCCUCGUGGGCGGGGGAGCUCGUGGCGUUCCUUCUAUCACCGGAGAAUAAGGGCAUGGUUCAGGGCUUGUGUUUGCGACGUGAACGCGCUGUGGGGGAGUUCUGUCGAGUUAGGGUCGCGAGAACCACCAUUGCAGCUGACCAUGGUGGUUGUCACCGUGAAACGGCCACUGCUGCCUCCGUAUGUCACCAGGAGGGUGGCUAAGUGAUUCAACCAGAAGUAUGGAUGGGUGUGCUUUUGUUUCCUCGGUGGACAUGUGUGUGUAUAGUGUAGCUUGGCCGGAAAAACCGAGAACCACCACCACCGGCCACCACAAGGUGGUUGUGUGUGUAUGUUUAUAUUUGUAUGUGUGAGUGUGUGUUAUUGAGUUGUAAAGUGUAAUGAUGCCCAAAAUAAUAAUAGAAAACUAUAACCACCACCAUGAGAUGGUGGCUGCCGCCUCCUGCUACCACCGGCCACCGUGUCGGGUGGCGGUGUGCUUGCCUCAUUGAGUUUGAUUCGUUUGGGGUGCUUGAAACCCUAAUGGGCCUUGUAAGCCCUAAUGGACCCCAUGAAGCUUAAUGGACCUAAAAGCCCAAGCAUGUGACUAAUGGGCUUAAUGAUAUUCUAGUGGGCCUAAUAUGCCGAAUAAAACCCUAAUUGACCUAAAAGCCCAACAAAUAGAUAAAUGGGCUAAUAUUUGGCUUGGAAACCCUAAUUAGGGUUUGGAAAACCCUAAUACCAAUAAAACCCUAAUUUUGAGAAUUUAUCGGGACACACGGGAAUUAUUUAAUAACUUGAGAUAUUAAAUAAUAAUCAUUGGCAAAAAUUAAUCUAAGCAAUAUUGGACUUAAUGGAUUAAGUCCAUAGUGGAUUAAGUCCUUAAUGGGUUAAGUGAGAAACACUUAACCCUAAUCAUCAUUUUAUGUGGAACCCUAAUUUCACUUGGUCCUUGAGUUGGGCCUUUCCAUUGGGCCUUGGUGAUGGGAUUAUUAAUGGGCCAUCCAAGAAUAAUCAUAUGGAUUAGAAUAUGUUGUUGGACUUUAGGGUAAGGCUCAUAUGAGAGUUUGGGCCCAAUUUGGAAAAUUGGGCCAUAGAUGGACCACAGUUUGGGUCUUAAUGAUUACAUGAUGUCAGGCCUUUGAAUAAGACCAUGUAUAGUCUUGGGCUCAAUUUAGAAAAUUGGGCCAUAUGUUGGGAUUUGAUUCCUAAUUGACUUUGGGCCUAUGGAUUGGGCCUUGGGCUUGAAUAGACCAAGCUUGGGGUAUUGUAGUAAUUAUCCAAAGAAUGAACUUAUGGUUAUGUGUUGGGAUCCAAUUAUUAAUUGGGUGAUGUUUUGAUAUUGACAGAUCGGGAUUCUGUCAUCCAACAACUGGGAUUGUGUCUACGGGACUUCAGCAAUGUGAGGUGAGUUACCUUCCAGUAGAAGUGGGUCUAAGGCCACAAUGUCGGCCCACUAGUAGGAGCUGUAUGAUAGAUGAUUGUCUUUGUGAUAAUCAUCUAGGUUUGCUACUACCUGAUGUGUUUUAUGUGUUAGCAUGAUAUGAUGUUAUGUGAUAGUGGUAGUAGAGGGAAUAGUCCCCGGUUACUGGUCGAUAGGGCCGAAGGGGUAGUUUAGUACCAUCUAUGCUAGACAGAUUAUGAUACAUGUGCUAUGAUAUUAUGUGGUAGUAGUAGGGGUGAAAUAGUCCCCGAAUACCGGUUGAAAGAUAUCGAAGGGGUAGGUCGGGCACCCAGAUAUGCCUGACAAUAUAUUCAUGUAUAUUAUGUUAUGUUAUUAUGUGGUAGUGGUAGGGGUGAAAUAGUCCCCGGUUACCGGUUGAAAGAUACCGAAGGGGAGGUUAGCUCCUUGUUACCGGUUGAAAGAGACUGAAGGGGAGGCCAGCACCCAGAUAUGCUAGGUGGUUACCGGUUGAAAGAGACCGAAGGGGAGGCCAGCACCUAGAUAUGCUAGGCGGUUACCUGUUGAAAGAUACCGAAGGGGUAGGUCGGGCACCCAGAUAUGCCUGACAGUAUGUUAGUAGUAUGGUAUGUGGUAUGAUAGGGGAACUCACUAAGCUUCGUGCUUACGGUUUAUAGUUUUGGUUUUAGGUACUUGUUUUCAAAGGAUAGGAGCUGGCUUGAUCGCAGCGCAUCACACCAUGUUUUUCGCACACGAGAUCUUUGGGAUUACACUCUGAUAUAAUUUUAUGAUACUAUGUUUUGAUUAUUGACACUUUGGUUUUGACAUGAGAUAUUAUUAUGAAUGUUUUUAUACUAAUGGUUUUAUGAAAUAACUUAAUUAAAACGAAAAUUUUUGUGACAUCCCCAUUUUCACGGCCAGAAAAGACCGAUUUGUUUAUGUUUUUUUUUAAAUAAAAUCAGGGUAAUCAUUUGAUUAAAAGAGUUGCGGAAUUUCUCCACAAAACAAAAUAUGAUAAGAAUUUCUCAAAGCAUUUCUUUAAAGAUGUAACACCCGGAUUCUCAGGUAUUAAUUACAUAAGAAUUAUUGGAUGAAUCCCUACUUGACGAGUCGGUCGACCUACUCGUUGAGUAGCAGCAGGGUGGGACUGCGUGUUAAGUGACCUACUCGACGAGUCCACUUUGGGACUCGGCGAGUAGGAGCUGGCAGAUGAAACCCUAAAUCCCGGGGUUUGCACCCCUAUUUAAAGGAGCCUCAUCCUCCUUUGGCCUCCUUGCAGUCUUUGAGAACCCUUAAAACCCUAAUACGUGUGUGUGUGCCAUUGUGUGAUUGAAGCUUGAAAAGAGGAUUUUGGAGAGAGAAGGCUUAGAGGAGAAGGGUAUUGGAGCAAGUGGAGUGUGGAAAUCAGCUCUUAUCUCAGUCAUCAUCUUCUGGAGGUAAUCAAAUCGCCUUUCUUCUUGUGAAUCUCUUCCAUUGUUGAAGUUUUAGGGUUUUUGGUGAAGUAUUAAGUUGAAAGGAUGAGCUAUGGGCUAGAUCUGAGGUUGUAACUUCAGAUCUAGACCCUCCUUGGAGGCUAGAAUCACAAAGUUGUUGUAUUGGUUGUGAUUGAGGUCACUCUUAGAUUUGAAGCUUCAUUAAGAACUUAAAAUAGAUAUUUAGAGCCUCUAUAGCCAUGCAUGCACGUAAAGUUUGCAACUUUACGUGAUAAGUAUGCCCUAGAAGCUUGGAUCUGUGAAUUGGGGCCGCUGCAUGGCUCAAACCAAGUCUGUAUGGAAAAAGAACUGUAUGGACUCGGCGAGUCAUAUGAAGAUGGCCGUGAACUCGACGAGUUGAAGAACAACUCGGCGGGUCGGAUGAGUUUUCCCUAGAUUAUGUAUGCGUGUGUAUCUGUCGAGUUGCGAGGAGGGAACUCGACGUGUUACCUUAAGUUUGAUCGAGGAUCAAAGGAACUCGACGAGUCACUCCGAUUACUCGGCGAGUUGGAAUGUACUUCAGGGAACUCGGCGAGUAGCCAAGGGUACUCGGUGAGUUAAGGUUAACAUGGACUGUUGACCUUGAUUGAGGACUUUGACUUUGACCAGGGGUUGACUAGUGGUUUAUGGAGUACCUUGUAAGGUUAAGGACUUAUGAGUAUGAUGUACUAUGAUGAUAGGUGGUGGAACCUGUGUCAAGUGAUCCGAGAGUUGGAGUUUACCUUUCCUGUCGACAUCUGCAAGGUGAGUUAUCCUCACUAUAUCUAUAGGGUCUACGACACAAAGGUCGGCCCUUUAGUUGUUAUUGUUAUGGUAUGUUGCAUGUAGUUAUGAUUUGUUAGUUCGGAAUCAAGGUAGACUGUAUGUUAUGCUUUUAUGAUCCGUAGGGAUUGGUGUGUUAGUGACCUGAUAGGUCGGUACUCUAGUUACAGGAGAAUUAUAUGAUUAUGAUUAGUGAGAUAGAUAUGCUUGAUGUUUGUAUAUGCCGGUAUAUGAUAGCUAUACGCACAUGGUUAUUUGCUUGUUGGUUGGGUUGAGGUGGUCCUGCUUUGUGCUGAAGGCCAACAUACCUUAUGAGCGCUCCGGGGAGAUUGUAGGCCCACGUGGCGGACCAGUCAUGCCGAAGGCUCGGGAUAGAUUCAGACAGACUGUAGGCCCGGUAGGGCGGUCCAGUCAGGCCGAUGACCCAGUAUACAUGAUGAUUGAUUGAUUAUUACUGAUAUGGUAUUGUCAGUGUGGUACUGGUAUUUUGGGGGUAGCUCACUAAGCCCUCGGGCUUACAGUUUUCAGUUUAUUGUUUCAGGUACUUCAGGAGUUCAUGGAAAGGCGAAGGCAUGACCGUACCGCUCCUCAUCCUUAUGUUAUGAUUUUUGGGACACUCUGAUGGAAAAUGAUUUGAAAAUAUUUUGUAAACGAUGCUUUACGAUUUCUAUUUAUGAUUGAAAA
This 4718-nucleotide long non-coding RNA is filed under the name Lactuca sativa (garden lettuce). Its description in RNAcentral is "long non-coding RNA (LSAT_LNC007199)". The record is from RNAcentral. Lineage: Eukaryota; Viridiplantae; Streptophyta; Magnoliopsida; Asterales; Asteraceae.